CUGCAGCGUGCCCAGAAGCACUGAAUCCAUACUUCUGUGUCCUCCAUUCACUUUUAAAUAUAUCAAACAAAUGGAAUGUGGCAAAAGAAAAGGAAGCAACAUGCUAUAUGGACAAGACUUCAGGGGUUUUGUGCCCAGUUGUUCUACCCUGUCAAUAUAAGGGGUCUGCAUUCCAACAGCCUUGGAAGGAGAUCGUUCUUCUGUACAGAAGCAAGAAGAAACCGAUGCCGAACAGCUACCCUGGGUCCCUUCGUUCAGAAGUUUCAUUCUGCCCUCUACUGAAUUUCUGCGUAAG
Long non-coding RNA from Aquila chrysaetos chrysaetos, 295 nucleotides. RefSeq lists it as uncharacterized. NCBI's taxonomy places the organism in Eukaryota, Metazoa, Chordata, Aves, Accipitriformes, Accipitridae. The record is from RefSeq and is a predicted model, not a curated record. The transcript is spliced from 3 exons.